UCUCUCGUGGCGUAGGGGUAACGUGCCUUAGCUAGAGAACAGGAAGUCGUGAGUUCGAUUCUCACCGAGAGGA
This is a non-coding RNA of Aedes aegypti (yellow fever mosquito), 73 nucleotides long. The record is from Rfam. Lineage: Eukaryota; Metazoa; Arthropoda; Insecta; Diptera; Culicidae.